RNAcentral lists this small RNA (125 nucleotides) under Marmota monax (woodchuck). Lineage: Eukaryota; Metazoa; Chordata; Mammalia; Rodentia; Sciuridae. The record is from RNAcentral.
GCCAGGCACGGUGGCGCAUGCCUGUCAUCCCAGCGGCUGGAGAGGCUGAGGCAGGAGGAUCGCGAGUUCAAAGCCAGCCUCAGCCAAAGGGAGGCCCUAAGCAACUCCGUGAGACCCUAUCUCUA